UACGAAGGGGGCUAGCGUUGCUCGGAAUUACUGGGCGUAAAGCGCACGUAGGCGGAUCCUUAAGUCGGUGGUGAAAUCCUGAAGCUCAACUUCAGAACUGCCUUCGAUACUGGGGACCUUGAGUUCGGGAGAGGUGAGUGGAACUGCGAGUGUAGAGGUGAAAUUCGUAGAUAUUCGCAGGAACACCAGUGGCGAAGGCGGCUCACUGGCCCGAUACUGACGCUGAGGUGCGAAAGCGUGGGGAGCAAACGGG
RNAcentral lists this ribosomal RNA (253 nucleotides) under uncultured bacterium. RNAcentral's name for it is "partial 16S ribosomal RNA". It matches the Rfam family "Bacterial small subunit ribosomal RNA", at positions 524 to 776 of the family's 1533-position model. The record is from RNAcentral.